UACGUAGGGCGCAAGCGUUAUCCGGAAUUAUUGGGCGUAAAGAGCUCGUAGGCGGUUUGUCGCGUCUGCUGUGAAAUCCCGAGGCUCAACCUCGGGCCUGCAGUGGGUACGGGCAGACUAGAGUGCGGUAGGGGAGAUUGGAAUUCCUGGUGUAGCGGUGGAAUGCGCAGAUAUCAGGAGGAACACCGAUGGCGAAGGCAGAUCUCUGGGCCGUAACUGACGCUGAGGAGCGAAAGGGUGGGGAGCAAACAGGCUUAGAUACCCUGGUAGUCCACCCCGUAAACGUUGGGAACUAGUUGUGGGGUCCAUUCCACGGAUUCCGUGACGCAGCUAACGCAUUAAGUUCCCCGCCUGGGUAGUACGGCCGCAAGGCUAAAACUCAAAGGAAUUGACGGGGACCCGCACAAGCGGCGGAGCAUGCGGAUUAAUUCGAUGCAACGCGAAGAACCUUACCAAGGCUUGACAUAUACGAGAACGGGCCAGAAAUGGUCAACUCUUUGGACACUCGUAAACAGGUGGUGCAUGGUUGUCGUCAGCUCGUGUCGUGAGAUGUUGGGUUAAGUCCCGCAACGAGCGCAACCCUCGUUCUAUGUUGCCAGCACGUAAUGGUGGGAACUCAUGGGAUACUGCCGGGGUCAACUCGGAGGAAGGUGGGGAUGACGUCAAAUCAUCAUGCCCCUUAUGUCUUGGGCUUCACGCAUGCUACAAUGGCCGGUACAAAGGGCUGCAAUACCGUGAGGUGGAGCGAAUCCCAAAAAGCCGGUCCCAGUUCGGAUUGAGGUCUGCAACUCGACCUCAUGAAGUCGGAGUCGCUAGUAAUCGCAGAUCAGCAACGCUGCGGUGAUACGUUCCCGGUCUUGCAC
RNAcentral lists this ribosomal RNA (863 nucleotides) under uncultured bacterium. RNAcentral describes it as "bacterial SSU rRNA". It matches the Rfam family "Bacterial small subunit ribosomal RNA", at positions 524 to 1386 of the family's 1533-position model. The record is from RNAcentral.